GCAGCCUGUCGGUCUGCCGCUCAUCCGGUUUAGGAUGCGAGGAAAGUCCGGGCAACACAGGGCACCAUACUUCUUAACGGGAAGCAGGCCGCAAGGUUUGAGUAGCAUAACAGAAAACAACCGCCAAUGCCCCACGGCAUCGGUAAGGGUGAAAAGGCGAGGUAAGAGCUCACCGGCUUCGGGGUAACCCGAAGGCCUUGUAAACCCCAUCCGGAGCAACGCCGGCAUGGCAUCGCAGGCUAACAGACGGCCCGUCUCUGCGAUGGCCGGCGGCUUUAGCCGCAGAGAGAUCUGCGGCAUAGAUAGAUGACCGUCUGAUACAGAACCCGGCUUACAGUCAUGCUNNCUUA
This 350-nucleotide RNase P RNA is filed under the name Parabacteroides sp. Its description in RNAcentral is "RNase P RNA component class A". It matches the Rfam family "Bacterial RNase P class A". From Rfam's summary of the family: Ribonuclease P (RNase P) is a ubiquitous endoribonuclease, found in archaea, bacteria and eukarya as well as chloroplasts and mitochondria. Its best characterised activity is the generation of mature 5'-ends of tRNAs by cleaving the 5'-leader elements of precursor-tRNAs. The record is from RNAcentral. Lineage: Bacteria; Pseudomonadati; Bacteroidota; Bacteroidia; Bacteroidales; Tannerellaceae.